UUUUGGCAGGCUCCGAUCCCAGCGAUGGAGACCUCUGGUCAGGAUUCCACCUCAGCUGGAUCUCCUAGAUUAUAUCCACCUCUCCCGCUGCCAGGAUGAAGAAUUUUCAUGUGAAAUACAAAGAGAGCCAACUACUCUUCUAAGGUGCUGCUUGACAAUGUGAGGGCAGAGUGUUUUAGCCAAAUACCUGUGGAGACGGUGAUGACGUCUUGUGCCUUCAAGAUGGUGCCAACAAGCUUAUCAUCCAUCUUAAUUUCCUAUGACAUGUUUAUCUACUUAAUUCACUGUGGCAUGAAGGAGAGAUGAAGAAUGUAUGCUUUAGAUAAGCUUGACAAAAUGCAAUAGCCUUUGCACCUCAUUAGACCUGUGUAUUAAAAGAAAAGGAGAGGGAGAAAGAAAAAGAAAAAAAAAACUGUUAUUUAAAUAGUUAUUUGCUAUUUUUUCCUUACAAAUUAUGGCAGUAAACUAAGAUUUUAAGAAGCGACUUAUACACCAGUAGUUGUAAGUCAAAAAGAAUCUGCUACAUAAAUAUUAUACAAAAUUUUAUAUAAAGUUGUUAAUAUCAUUUUUACACAUCCUUUUUAAAUUUGAGCCAACGAAUUCCUUUUUGGGAAAUUAAAGUACAGUGGCCACUAAAAUAUAGAGCAGAAGUGAA
Non-coding RNA from Odocoileus virginianus texanus, 655 nucleotides. The record is from RefSeq and is a predicted model, not a curated record. Lineage: Eukaryota; Metazoa; Chordata; Mammalia; Artiodactyla; Cervidae.